This 65-nucleotide transfer RNA is filed under the name unidentified. RNAcentral describes it as "Cryptocephalus dimidiatipennis tRNA-Tyr". The record is from RNAcentral.
GACGGGGUGACCGAGUUUAGGUGUUAAAUUGUAAAUUUAGAUACGAAGUAUUUCUUCCCCUGUCA